UACAGAGGGGGCAAGCGUUGUUCGGAAUUACUGGGCGUAAAGAGCGCGCAGGCGGUCGUUCAAGUCGCGUGUGAAAGCCCCCGGCUCAACUGGGGAGGGUCACGCGAUACUGAUCGACUCGAAGGCAGGAGAGGGAAGUGGAAUUCCCGGUGUAGUGGUGAAAUGCGUAGAUAUCGGGAGGAACACCAGUGGCGAAGGCGACUACCUGGCCUGUUCUUGACGCUGAGGCGCGAAAGCUAGGGGAGCAAACGGG
Molecule: ribosomal RNA, 253 nt
Filed under: uncultured bacterium
Lineage: Bacteria
Description: partial 16S ribosomal RNA
Rfam family: Bacterial small subunit ribosomal RNA
Source: RNAcentral